UGGGGAAUAUUGCACAAUGGGCGCAAGCCUGAUGCAGCCAUGCCGCGUGUGUGAAGAAGGCCUUCGGGUUGUAAAGCACUUUCAGCGGGGAGGAAGGCGUUAAGGUUAAUAACCUUGGCGAUUGACGUUACCCGCAGAAGAAGCACCGGCUAACCCCGUGCCAGCAGCCGCGGUAAUACGGAGGGUGCAAGCGUUAAUCGGAAUUACUGGGCGUAAAGCGCACGCAGGCGGUCUGUCAAGUCGGAUGUGAAAUCCCCGGGCUCAACCUGGGAACUGCAUUCGAAACUGGCAGGUGUGAGUCUCGUAGAGGGGGGUAGAAUUCCAGGUGUAGCGGUGAAAUGCGUAGAGAUCUGGGGGAAUACCGGUGGCGAAGGCGGCCCCCUGGACGAAGACUGACGCUCAGGUGCGAAAGCGUGGGGAGCAAACAGG
Molecule: ribosomal RNA, 429 nt
Filed under: Chloroflexota bacterium
Lineage: Bacteria; Bacillati; Chloroflexota
Description: Chloroflexi bacterium partial 16S ribosomal RNA
Rfam family: Bacterial small subunit ribosomal RNA
Source: RNAcentral